GAUGAAGAACGUAGCGAAAUGCGAUACGUAAUGUGAAUUGCAGAAUUCAGUGAAUCAUCGAGUCUUUGAACGCACAUUGCGCCCCUUGGUAUUCCGGGGGGCAUGCCUGUCCGAGCGUCAUUGCUGCCCUCAAGCACGGCUUGUGUGUUGGGCCUCCGUCCUCCUCCCGGGGGACGGGCCCGAAAGGCAGCGGCGGCACCGCGUCCGGUCCUCGAGCGUAUGGGGCUUCGUCACCCGCUCUUGUAGGCCCGGCCGGCGCUUGCCGACACAUCAAUCUUUUUUCCAGGUUGACCUCGGAUCAGGUAGGGAUACCCGCUGAACUUAAGCAUAUCAAUAAGCGGAGGA
RNAcentral lists this unclassified non-coding RNA (345 nucleotides) under soil metagenome. RNAcentral's name for it is "partial contains 5.8S ribosomal RNA, internal transcribed spacer 2, and large subunit ribosomal RNA". The stretch from base 1 to 120 matches the Rfam family "5.8S ribosomal RNA", at positions 35 to 154 of the family's 154-position model. The record is from RNAcentral.